CCUACGGGUGGCAGCAGUGAGGAAUAUUGGUCAAUGGACGCAAGUCUGAACCAGCCAUGCCGCGUGCAGGAAGACGGCUCUAUGAGUUGUAAACUGCUUUUAUACGGGGGUAAACGCAGAUACGCGUAUCUUUCUGUAAGUAUCGUACGAAUAAGGAUCGGCUAACUCCGUGCCAGCAGCCGCGGUAAUACGGAGGAUUCAAGCGUUAUCCGGAUUUAUUGGGUUUAAAGGGUGCGUAGGUGGAAUAUAAAGUCAGCGGGAAAAUUUCGGGGCUCAACCUAGUCGUGCCGUUGAAACUGGCGGUCUUGAGUAGGCGAGAAGUAUGCGGAAUGCGUGGUGUAGCGGUGAAAUGCAUAGAUAUCACGCAGAACUCCGAUUGCGAAGGCAGCAUAC
This 393-nucleotide ribosomal RNA is filed under the name uncultured bacterium. RNAcentral describes it as "partial 16S ribosomal RNA". It matches the Rfam family "Bacterial small subunit ribosomal RNA", at positions 338 to 729 of the family's 1533-position model. The record is from RNAcentral.